This 301-nucleotide ribosomal RNA is filed under the name uncultured bacterium. RNAcentral describes it as "partial 16S ribosomal RNA". It matches the Rfam family "Bacterial small subunit ribosomal RNA", at positions 509 to 809 of the family's 1533-position model. The record is from RNAcentral.
CAGUAGCCGCGGUAAUACGUAGGUGGCAAGCGUUGUCCGGAAUUAUUGGGCGUAAAGCGCGCGCAGGCGGCCUAUCCAGUCUGUCUUAAAAGUUCGGGGCUCAACCCCGUGAUGGGAUGGAAACUAGUAGGCUAGAGUAUCGGAGAGGAAAGCGGAAUUCCUAGUGUAGCGGUGAAAUGCGUAGAUAUUAGGAAGAACACCAGUGGCGAAGGCGGCUUUCUGGACGAAAACUGACGCUGAGGCGCGAAAGCCAGGGGAGCGAACGGGAUUAGAUACCCGAGUAGUCCCUGUCUCUUAUACA